This is a long non-coding RNA of Neoarius graeffei (lesser salmon catfish), 339 nucleotides long. RefSeq lists it as uncharacterized. NCBI's taxonomy places the organism in Eukaryota, Metazoa, Chordata, Actinopteri, Siluriformes, Ariidae. The record is from RefSeq and is a predicted model, not a curated record. The transcript is spliced from 4 exons.
CAAAUGUCUCUGUUGGAAGUACUGAAGCCUGCUUCUGUUCAAGUACUCUACUUUCGAAAAGAUGAGUUCACAGACAAUGCUAUUGAGGUUGUGCCAUCUUCAUGGCUUGGACACACUUCUGAGCAUGGCAUGGUCUGCUACUGGACGACACACAAUGUGCAAUUGCAUGUUGUGAAGUGCCGAGCACCAAAUACAACUUGGGCCAAACAUCCCGUUAAGAAAACCUGGUACGAAACAGAUUCAUACGCCAAAGCUGAACAGAAGUGUUUGCAAUUGAUGGAGUCCUCAAGUGUUGAGACAGAGGAUGAUGUGAACACUUUUGCAAUAAGGCAACGCAAG